Molecule: ribosomal RNA, 608 nt
Rfam family: Eukaryotic large subunit ribosomal RNA
CGCAGUCGUAGGGUUGUGUCAGGGCUUCGGUCCUGCCUGAGAGACCCAUGUGUUUGGAACGGGCGAAGUGAGAGCAAUUUCGUGGGUGCGAGAGCCACGGGGAGACCCGAGGCGCAUCGCUGGCCGAGCCGUAUGGUCACGCUGUGGCCGGUUUCGAGUGCGAGCGUAUCUGUUGCGACCCGAAAGAUGGUGAACUAUGCCUGAGGAGGGUGAAGCCAGAGGAAACUCUGGUGGAGGCCCGUAGCGGUUCUGACGUGCAAAUCGAUCGUCGCACUUGGGUAUAGGGGCGAAAGACUAAUCGAACCAUCUAGUAGCUGGUUCCCUCCGAAGUUUCCCUCAGGAUAGCUGGAGUUUGUUAGCAGUUUCGUCGGGUAAAGCGAAUGAUUAGAGGUAUCGGGGUUGAAAGGGCCUCGCCCUAUUCUCAAACUUUAAAUCGGCGAGAAGGGUUGUCUUGCCUACCGGAAGGCAUCCCUUGAAUGCAGGGGCUCCAUGUGGGCCGUUUUUGGUAAGCAGAACCGGCGAUGCGGGAUGAACCGAACGUUGGGCUAUGGCGCCGGAGUCGACGCUAAGCAGAUACCAGGAAAGGUGUUGGUUGAUCUAGACAGCAG